GGGAAGUUACCACACUGGACUCUUAAGUCCUCCUGCAUUUCAAAAUUACAGGAUUUUAUAUUUCUAAUUAGAAGCCUGGUGAAAUCUUAGGUGGGUAAGAGUUGAAAGUAUAUGCAUUCCAAAAGUCAGUUUAUCUUGAAUUGUCCUUAUCCUGAGAAGUAAA
This 163-nucleotide unclassified non-coding RNA is filed under the name Mus musculus (house mouse). RNAcentral describes it as "partial derived from hnRNA or mRNA fragment, or novel small non-messenger RNA without known sequence-or structural motifs". The record is from RNAcentral. Lineage: Eukaryota; Metazoa; Chordata; Mammalia; Rodentia; Muridae.